This 234-nucleotide unclassified non-coding RNA is filed under the name Glomus sp. RNAcentral describes it as "partial contains 5.8S ribosomal RNA and internal transcribed spacer 2". The stretch from base 1 to 65 matches the Rfam family "5.8S ribosomal RNA", at positions 84 to 154 of the family's 154-position model. Lineage: Eukaryota; Fungi; Glomeromycota; Glomeromycetes; Glomerales; Glomeraceae. The record is from RNAcentral.
GUGAAUCAUCGAAUUUUUGAACGCAAAUUGCACUCUCUUCGGAGAGUAUGCCUGUUUGAGGGUCAGCCUAAAAAAAAAAAUCGACAUAGUCGCUGUUUCGCGGUGACAUUCGUCGGAAAUUGGUUUAUUUUAAACCUUUGGGUUUUAAGCGGCUUAAAAUUUUCUUUUUGAUUUUACGUACGUUUCUAAUAUUUACUUUUUAUACGUUUAAGUUAUCAAUCCUUAUUAUACGUG